GGAAAGUAGUGGGCAGGGGCAGGGGUAAGGUGGAGGGGGCCAGCGUUGUUCGGGAGUGCUGGGUGUAAAGGGUUCGUAGGCGGUGGGGCGAGUCGGGAGGGAAAUCUUUGGGCUCAACUCAGAGGCGGCUGCCGAAACUGCUGUGCUUGAGUGUGGGAGAGGCGCGUGGAAUUGCAGGUGUAGCGGUGAAAUGCGUAGAUAUCUGCAGGAACACCCGUGGCGAAAGCGGCGCGCUGGACCACUACUGACGCUGAGGAACGAAAGCUAGGGGAGCAAACAGGAUUAGAUACCCCAGUAGUC
RNAcentral lists this ribosomal RNA (300 nucleotides) under uncultured Archaeoglobus sp. RNAcentral describes it as "bacterial SSU rRNA". The stretch from base 59 to 300 matches the Rfam family "Bacterial small subunit ribosomal RNA", at positions 554 to 795 of the family's 1533-position model. Lineage: Archaea; Methanobacteriati; Methanobacteriota; Archaeoglobi; Archaeoglobales; Archaeoglobaceae. The record is from RNAcentral.